ACCUGUGCUGGACCGUGUACAAGUCUCCUGGAAUGGAGCAUCACAGAGGGUGAGAAUCCCGUCUUUGACACGGACUACCAGUGCAUUGUGGUUGUGCUCUCAACGAGUCGAGUUGUUUGGGAAUGCAGCUCUAAAUGGGUGGUAAAUUCCAUCUAAAGCUAAAUAUUGGCGAGAGACCGAUAGCGAACAAGUACCGUGAGGGAAAGAUGAAAAGAACUUUGGAAAGAGAGUUAAACAGUAUGUGAAAUUGUUGAAAGGGAAACGUUUGAAGUCAGUCGUGUUGGCUGGGGAUCAACCUGACUUAUUGUUAGGUGUAUUUCCUGGUUGACGGGCCAACAUCAGUUUUGACUGCCAGAAAAAGGCCAAGGGAAUGUGGCACCUUUGGGUGUGUUAUAGCUUUUGGUCGUAUGUGGUGGUUGGGACUGAGGACAGCAGUGCGCCGCAAUGGCAGGGUUUCGACCACAUUCGCACUGAGGAUGUUGGCAUAAUGGCUUUAAGCGACCCGUCUUGAAACACGGACCAAGGAGUCUAACAUGCAUGCGAGUGUUUGGGUGGAAAACCCUUACGCGUAAUGAAAGUGAAAGUUGAGAUCCCUGUCGUGGGGAGCAUCGACGCCCGGACCAGAACUUUUGGGACGGAUCUGCGGUAGAGCACGUAUGUUGGGACCCGAAAGAUGGUGAACUAUGCCUGAAUAGGGUGAAGCC
Molecule: ribosomal RNA, 704 nt
Filed under: Amanita brunnescens
Lineage: Eukaryota; Fungi; Basidiomycota; Agaricomycetes; Agaricales; Amanitaceae
Description: eukaryotic LSU rRNA
Rfam family: Eukaryotic large subunit ribosomal RNA
Source: RNAcentral